CACGUUUGACCGAGGAAGCUAAGGCUCGGCGAGAUGGAACAAGGUGACCGAGAUACUGGCUAAGCAAAGAAGCAGGUUGUGAAGCCAGGCUCCACUCCGCCACCUCUGGAUGCCCCAGCGCUACCAGCUUGCCUGAGGCCAGCAGCCUGCUGCAAGUUAGACCGCUGACUAGCCAACCGCAGCCAACGUGCAGCCCCUGGAGUUACAGGCAUACUUGAACACAUCCAACUUUUUACAUAAGCCCUGUGGCUCAAACUCAGGUCCUUGUGCUUUCACAGCAAACAUCCCCCCAGCCCUCAUGUCUUAACUUUGUACAACAGUGAGGAAGAGAGAUGAGAGGACCCAGGAGCUGGGAAGCUUCUGACCACCUUGACCUCCUUACGCUCUCCCAGAGGCCAUUGCACCACCCUCAGCACCCUCAUCCAGGAGAAUACCAGAGAAUGGUGUGAGAGUGAGACGGGGUGAGCUCAGUGUCCCUCGUCCUCACAGAGCCAAACCAGACCUGAAGAUGGCCGCCCCUGCCACCCGUUCCCACCCUCUAUGGAGUGACGACUCGCUUCCCCAUUUCUCCAAAGGGAAAACAGAAGCUCAGAGAAGUCAAGAGCCUUGCCCAAAACCACACAGCAGGGAAACAUCAAAAGGUCUGCCAAGGUUCCAAGUGGCAAUAGCCCCAGACCUUCUGGAACCAAGACUUGAAUACGCCCAUUCCAGAGGGACCAGGAGGCUCCAAGCCAGGUCUGCAAGCUAGCUGUGCCUCUGUCUCCCACCAGCUGUAUGACUUUGGACUCAUGACCUCUCCAUGAGUCUGCAUUUCAUCGAUAAAGGGGGAAUGAUUACAGCACCUACCUUGUGAGGUUUUUCAGGGUUAAAUGAACUGGUACUCCUCCCAAACACCUAGACUUGAGCCAGACACAAGAUAAUGUUCAAUGUGUAUUGAGAUGUUGUUACUAAUACUAGAUCACUCUAACCCCAAAUCAUUCUUUACCUGAUCAGACAGCGAGAACCAUCCAUCUAGUGGGCUGGACAUCGCCCCAGGACAAGGCUUUCCCCUCCCCACAAAUGCCCCACAUGGAGAACAGAUAUGUCCCCUAACCUGGGAAGUGCAUGUUCUCACACAUUGUCUUUACUCACUGAGCUGCAUAGGCCUCUCCCGGGCACAUUUCUGAAUGUGCAUUGUACUUGAAUUCU
Molecule: long non-coding RNA, 1188 nt
Organism: Jaculus jaculus (lesser Egyptian jerboa)
Lineage: Eukaryota; Metazoa; Chordata; Mammalia; Rodentia; Dipodidae
Exons: 3
Source: RefSeq, a predicted model, not a curated record